RNAcentral lists this long non-coding RNA (3802 nucleotides) under Mus musculus (house mouse). RNAcentral describes it as "long non-coding RNA chr7:27204874-27208676". The record is from RNAcentral. Lineage: Eukaryota; Metazoa; Chordata; Mammalia; Rodentia; Muridae.
UUUUUUUUUUUUUUUUUUUUUGAGACAGGGUUUCGCUGUGUAGCCCUGGCUGCCCUGGAACUCACUCUGUAGACCAGGUUGGUCUCAAACUCAGAAAUCUGCCUGCCUCUGCCUCCCGAGUGCUGGGAUUAAAGGCACCUAAUUUAUUCUUGUUUCUUCUUUGUUCACAACUACUUAACAAACCACAACCAACAACCCCUCAACACCCAGGACCCUGGACAUUUAUUUAUAUAACAUCUGAAAAGCCCCCAGAAUUCCCAAGGUCACAGUCUCAGAAACUAUUUGCAGAUGGCAAAAUCAUACCCCUGCUACAGCAUGAAGCAAAUCCCAGCUGCUGUGGACAGCCCAUAUUCCACACCUGGGAUUAAAAUGAAAACAUACUCCCAUAAUAUUUCUAUGUUUUUCAAAGAAACCAAAAUUUUUGCUACAGAGUCAUGACCCCUUUGGGUGUCAAAAGACCCUUUCACAGGGAUUGCCUAAGACCAUCAGAAAAAAUAUAUAUUUACUUUAUGAUUCAUAAUAGUAGCAAGAUUAUAGUUAUAAAGUAAUGAUGAAAAUAACUUUAUGGUUUGGGGUCACCACAACAUGAGGUUAUUAUUCAAGGGUUGCAGCAUUACAAAGGUUGAGAACCACUGAGAUAGAGGUAGCUGAUCUGUGAGUUUGGAACCAGCCUGGUCUACAUAGCAACAUCUAAGCCAGCCAGGGCUACAUAGUGAGAACCUGCCUCAAAAGCAAAACAGCAGUCUUACUAUGUAGCCCUAGAUGGCCUAGAACUCCCUAUGCAGUAGGCCAGGUUGGCCUUUGCUUCCUGUGUCCUGGGAUUAAAGGCCUGUUCCUACAUGCCUAGCCUAGAAGGCUCUUGGUAGUAACUCAGACCCUAGUCGUGGCCCUCCCACCUGAAUGUGACAUCCACUGGUCUUUCUUUGGGGGAAUUGUUAAAGACACUGUCAGUUCACAGAGCAGGACUUAGCCCAGCUUCCUUCUCCUUGGCACACUCAGACUACCCCGUCUACCUGACCGCUGUGCUGGCCUUUCAGAUACUGAGACUGAGGUGCCAACGACAGCCUUGAGCUAAAUGAUGAUCACUCUCCUUGAGCUGGCAAGAUGGCUUAAUGGGUAAAGGUGCUUGUCAAGCCAGAUGACCCAGGGCCCCGAGCGACAGAACAAGAACCGAUCCCCACAGGCUGCCCUCUCACCUCCAUUCACAUUCACAAAAUUCAAAUGUAAUAAAAAGAUGUUUUAAACCUUACUCCCCCUAACUUCUCCAUCUUAGCUCCAAUAUCAUUUCCUCUUCAAAGAGCUCCUGGGAUGCCUCCCUUCCACACAGUGAGGAGGAGAGGAAUACGAUGUUUGUUUGGGUUUUUUUUUUUUUUUUUUAAAGACAGAUUUUGUCAUGUUCGUUAUGCAGUCCAGGUUAACCUUGAACAUGCUACAUCCUGUCCAAAGCUGCGAUGGUGGUACAGGCCUGUAACCCCAGCAUUUGGAACACAGAAGCCAGCUAACAGUCCAUGCUCAUCAUCAACUCCAUGACAAGUGCAGGGCCAACUUGAACUAUGUAAGACUCUUACAUAGGCAGUGCAGUGUGUGCCUCUUCUAGUGUAUCAGCUCUUCAGGACUGUAUGGAAAGUGACAGGCACCCGGGACACCUGCUCAGAAGGGGGCAAACAAGCCUGGGGGGCUGCAGUGCUCCCAGCCAAAGGUCACAUUCUAGAGGAGCUAUAUGGUGACAGUGUCAAGGCACACACCCAUCCCAGCACUCUGGAGGCUACACAAGAGGACCUCUAGUUCCAGACCAACCUAAGCUACACAGUUGAGGAGAUGGCUCAGCAAUUAAGAGCACUCCCUGCUUGCAGAGUUUGGAUCCCAAAUCAGGCAGGUAGAGCUGUAACUUCAGCUCUGAGAGCAGGCAGUCCAAUGCCCUCUUCUGACCUUAGGCACCUAAAUACAUGUAGCAUCCACACACACACAAAAGUACAAAUCUUUUGUGUGUGUUUCAAAACUAUUUCUCUGUGUAGUCCUGGUUAUCCUAGAACUCGUUCUUAGACCAGGCUGGCCUUGAACUCAGAGAUCUCUGCCUCCUUCUAUCCCUCCACCCCACCACCCAAGUUAAAAGAACGUGUCGCCACCACCCAGUGAUAAUCUUUUCUUUAAACUCUAAAAUACAAAAAAUAAUGGCAUUUCUGAGUUUUGAAUGAGAGGUGAACCUCCCUCAGCCUGCUCACUCUCCCAAGGUGAUUGAUACCCCAGCAUAGAAGUCCAGACUGUGAAUCUCAGAUGCCAAGAAAAUACCCACAAUGUUGAUUUUGUCCUGUUUAUUGGGGUGCCACUGUAGGCCGGAGGUACAGUAAAGUCAUUUUGCCUCAAUUCCCUGACACCACCACCCCAGGUAACUACCACGUAUAUAAAUAUAUAUAUAUAAAGUCUGUCAGUAGAAAAGGAAGACGUGUCAGCCUUGGCAGACCUUAGGGCUUCACCUUAGAGAAGAGGUAGGUUCCUUGCCAAGCCCAUCCAUAUGGGCCAGGAAGCCGAGGUUCUGGAGCACAGAACACAUUGUUUCUCCCCCACCCCAGAGUUCUAGAGUCUUUGGUUAGAACCACGUAGUCCAUGGUUAGGGCCAGUAGCCACACCCUUUGUGCUUCUGAGCAACCUGGCACUUCAUUCUGCGUGUGAUCAGGGCACUUAUACAGUGAAGCAAGGCUGUCUGGUUCCCAUGGAGAAGCCUCCUCCCCUGCCUCAGAAACUCCUUCCUGUCACUGGAUUCUGCUGGGACAAGAGCUGGGCUGUCAGGGCCAGGAGGAGGAAGUCCUGAGGCUGGAGCUGGUGCACCAAGGAAGGAAGAUGGAUGGUCACAGUGCUGGUACAGAUGGGUAUGGCUGUGGCCUGGGUCUGCAGUAGCUCGGAGUCCACAAGGAACAGAAGGGAUCCUUCCCCGCCCUGGCAGGGAGGAGGGCAAGCUGGCCCUGUGCAGAAGCACUAGGCCUCAGGUAGCAUCAGCAAGCGUCCCAGGAAGACAUCCUCCUCUCAGCACCAGGAUGGGGAUCUUACUGGCCCAGGUGGACAAGUAGCUCCUGCAGGUCUUCACAAAUGAUGCCUGGUCCUCUGGGAAGCAAAAGCCAACCCUUUGGCUCUAGGCUCAAAGAGCUGACUCAGGGAAGAGUUGAUUCUUCAGCUGUGGCCUCUGGUACUCCCUUAGAGGCUUUCCUAGCUGGUCAGGAUGCCCCGUGCUGCCAGGGACCCUCAAGCCCCUCAAGCCUCACUGAUCUGGUGACACUUUGAAGCACCUCAUCUUCCCCCAGACAACAUCUUAGGACUCUUCUAGCCAGACACAUGCUAUCCUGCAAGUGAGCCUAGCAGUGGCAGAUGACGUCAGCUCUGGGCCAGCCCCUGAAGGAGGCAGAUCAAAUUGUCCAGACCCCAGAGGUAGCCGUCCUCACGGUUGCCCUCUGUCCAAGGCAGCCUGUGACUGAGCAUCUGGUGGUCAGGCAGGGCCACUGUCUUGCCGAAGUCAAUCAUCCAGACCUUGGCCAGGCCAGUGUGGUCAUGCACAAAGAGAAGGGAACUGCCCACUACCUGCAGCAGAGAGUGAGAGAAAAGCAGUUAGAGAAAGGAGCAAGCACUAGCUAAUGUAUUUCCCGGUGAGCAGUAAACAGGGUGGUAAGACAGCAGAAACUCUGGAAUGAGGCUACCCACGUUCAAAUCCUGACUCUGAUUCUACAUAAACAGAAUAAUUGUAUAAUUACAUGUAAUGGGCAUAAAUCAUUUCAAAUGGUUCCUGAAACACAACAAAUACACAAUGAAUGUU